GACGAACGCUGGCGGCGUGCCUAAUACAUGCAAGUCGAACGCUUCUUUCCUCCCGAGUGCUUGCACUCAAUUGGAAAGAGGAGUGGCGGACGGGUGAGUAACACGUGGGUAACCUACCCAUCAGAGGGGGAUAACACUUGGAAACAGGUGCUAAUACCGCAUAACAGUUUAUGCCGCAUGGCAUAAGAGUGAAAGGCGCUUUCGGGUGUCGUUGAUGGAUGGACCCGCGGUGCAUUAGCUAGUUGGUGAGGUAACGGCUCACCAAGGCCACGAUGCAUAGCCGACCUGAGAGGGUGAUCGGCCACACUGGGACUGAGACACGGCCCAGACUCCUACGGGAGGCAGCAGUAGGGAAUCUUCGGCAAUGGACGAAAGUCUGACCGAGCAACGCCGCGUGAGUGAAGAAGGUUUUCGGAUCGUAAAACUCUGUUGUUAGAGAAGAACAAGGACGUUAGUAACUAAACGUCCCCUGACGGUAUCUAACCAGAAAGCCACGGCUAACUACGUG
RNAcentral lists this ribosomal RNA (508 nucleotides) under uncultured bacterium. RNAcentral describes it as "partial 16S ribosomal RNA". It matches the Rfam family "Bacterial small subunit ribosomal RNA", at positions 28 to 507 of the family's 1533-position model. The record is from RNAcentral.